Molecule: long non-coding RNA, 676 nt
Filed under: Capra hircus (goat)
Lineage: Eukaryota; Metazoa; Chordata; Mammalia; Artiodactyla; Bovidae
Description: lncRNA (ENSCHIG00000003768.1)
Source: RNAcentral
GGCGGGGUUCCCGGGGGAGGGGGCGGGCUGCCAGGCAUGGCCUAGGGUGCAUGGGUCUCCGCGCCCCCUGCCUGCUCAACUUUCCCCUCCAAUUCCCUGCUUCCCUUUGAUGUCCCGCAAGUGAGGACGCGCCUCGUGGGUCGCUGCGGGGAGGAAAGAGUAGAUGGGAGACCAAGGCGGAGAAGAGCACCAGCUCCGCUGCUCCUCUUGUCUGCAGCACGCUCAACCCCGAGCGAGUCUCAGCUUCCGCUCAGUCUCGGCUUCCAAGCUUGCCAAAGUGUCCGAAAACGCGCAGAGCGCUCGGAACCUGUCCCGCAGCUGUGCGACGCGCGUCUCGAGCUGGCCGCAGCCGCCCCGCCCUCGCGCGCCUCAGCCCCGCGGGCGGGGAUGCCGGCUCCACGGCCUCUCUACCGGGACCCCGCUCCAGGCCCGGGCGUGCUCCGGCUCGAGGUGGAAGGCACACCCGGGUAGUGGAUUUAGCAAACACACCUUUAUCUGUUCCUUAGAAAGGUGGAGCAGUCAUGCAAGAAUACUAAUGGAAGAAAGGAAGGAAGGGAGAGAAGGAGGAAGGAAUGGAGGAAAGAAGAGAAAGGAAGAUACAUCAGUGUAUGCUUCCCACGGGUCCCCUCCUCUAGUAUUCAUUUUCUCUUUCCAGCCUAGACCCUUCUGCUCUUAG